Molecule: ribosomal RNA, 564 nt
Filed under: uncultured Glomeromycotina
Lineage: Eukaryota; Fungi; Glomeromycota
Description: SSU rRNA
Rfam family: Eukaryotic small subunit ribosomal RNA
Source: RNAcentral
UUGGAGGGCAAGUCUGGUGCCAGCAGCCGCGGUAAUUCCAGCUCCAAUAGCGUAUAUUAAAGUUGUUGCAGUUAAAAAGCUCGUAGUUGAAUUUCGGGAUCAAAUUGUCGGUCGUGCCUCGGUACGCACUGGUAUUAUUGGUUCCUACCUUCUGAAGAACCGCGAUGUCAUUAAUUUGGUGUCGUGGGGAAUCAGGACUGUUACUUUGAAAAAAUUAGAGUGUUUAAAGCAGGCUUACGCUUGAAUACAUUAGCAUGGAAUAAUGAAAUAGGACGUUUGAUUCUAUUUUGUUGGUUUCUAGGAUUGACGUAAUGAUUAAUAGGGAUAGUUGGGGGCAUUAGUAUUCAAUUGUCAGAGGUGAAAUUCUUGGAUUUAUUGAAGACUAACUACUGCGAAAGCAUUUGCCAAGGAUGUUUUCAUUAAUCAAGAACGAAAGUUAGGGGAUCGGAGACGAUCAGAUACCGUCGUAGUCUUAACCAUAGACUAUGCCGACUAGGGAUCGGAUGAUGUUAAUUUUUUAAUGACUCAUUCGGCGCCUUACGGGAAACCAAAGUGUUUGGGUUC